GUAGGGAAUCUUCCACAAUGGACGAAAGUCUGAUGGAGCAACGCCGCGUGAGUGAAGAAGGUUCUCGGAUCGUAAAACUCUGUUGUGAGGGAAGAACAAGUACCGGAGUAACUGCCGGUACCUUGACGGUACCUCAUUAGAAAGCCACGGCUAACUACGUGCCAGCAGCCGCGGUAAUACGGAGGUGGCAAGCGUUGUCCGGAAUCAUUGGGCGUAAAGCGCGCGCAGGCGGUCCCUUAAGUCUGAUGUGAAAGCCCACGGCUCAACCGUGGAGGGUCAUUGGAAACUGGGGGACUUGAGUGCAGAAGAGGAAAGCGGAAUUCCAAGUGUAGCGGUGAAAUGCGUAGAGAUUUGGAGGAACACCAGUGGCGAAGGCGGCUUUCUGGUCUGUAACUGACGCUGAGGCGCGAAAGCGUGGGGAGCAAACAGGAUUAGAUACCCCGGUAGUCC
This 450-nucleotide ribosomal RNA is filed under the name uncultured bacterium. RNAcentral describes it as "partial 16S ribosomal RNA". It matches the Rfam family "Bacterial small subunit ribosomal RNA", at positions 354 to 796 of the family's 1533-position model. The record is from RNAcentral.